Molecule: ribosomal RNA, 740 nt
Filed under: uncultured Hyphomicrobiales bacterium
Lineage: Bacteria; Pseudomonadati; Pseudomonadota; Alphaproteobacteria; Hyphomicrobiales
Description: bacterial SSU rRNA
Rfam family: Bacterial small subunit ribosomal RNA
Source: RNAcentral
AGAGUUUGAUCCUGGCUCAGAACGAACGCUGGCGGCAGGCUUAACACAUGCAAGUCGAACGCACCUUCGGGUGAGUGGCAGACGGGUGAGUAACGCGUGGGAACGUGCCCUUCAGUUCGGAAUAACCCAGGGAAACUUGGGCUAAUACCGGAUACGUGCGAGAGCAGAAAGAUUUAUCGCUGAAGGAUCGGCCCGCGUCUGAUUAGCUAGUUGGUGGGGUAAUGGCCCACCAAGGCGACGAUCAGUAGCUGGUCUGAGAGGAUGAUCAGCCACAUUGGGACUGAGACACGGCCCAAACUCCUACGGGAGGCAGCAGUGGGGAAUAUUGGACAAUGGGCGCAAGCCUGAUCCAGCCAUGCCGCGUGAGUGAUGAAGGCCUUAGGGUUGUAAAGCUCUUUCGGCGGGGACGAUAAUGACGGUACCCGCAGAAGAAGCCCCGGCUAACUUCGUGCCAGCAGCCGCGGUAAUACGAAGGGGGCUAGCGUUGUUCGGAAUCACUGGGCGUAAAGGGCGCGUAGGCGGCUUGAUAAGUCGGGGGUGAAAGCCUGUGGCUCAACCACAGAAUUGCCUUCGAUACUGUCUGGCUUGAGACCGGAAGAGGUAAGUGGAACUGCGAGUGUAGAGGUGAAAUUCGUAGAUAUUCGCAAGAACACCAGUGGCGAAGGCGGCUUACUGGUCCGGUUCUGACGCUGAGGCGCGAAAGCGUGGGGAGCAAACAGGAUUAGAUACCCCUGUAGUCC